CCAAUAGCGUAUAUUAAAGUUGUUGCAGUUAAAAAGCUCGUAGUUGAAUUUCGGGAUCAAUAUGUUUGGUCGUGCCUCGGUACGUACUAGCUUAUUGGUUUCUCCUUUCUGAAGAACCAUGAUGUCAUUCAUUUGGUGUCGUGGGGAAUCAGGACUGUUACUUUGAAAAAAUUAGAGUGUUUAAAGCAGGCUCACGCUUGAAUACAUUAGCAUGGAAUAAUGAAAUAGGACGUUUGAUUCUAUUUUGUUGGUUUCUAGGAUCGACGUAAUGAUUAAUAGGGAUAGUUGGGGGCAUUAGUAUUCAAUUGUCAGAGGUGAAAUUCUUGGAUUUAUUGAAGACUAACUACUGCGAAAGCAUUUGCCAAGGAUGUUUUCAUUAAUCAAGAACGAAAGUCAGGGGAUCGAAGACGAUCAGAUACCGUCGUAGUCUUGACCAUAAACUAUGCCGACUAGGGAUCGGACACUGUUACUUUAUUGACGUGUUCGGCACCUUAUG
RNAcentral lists this ribosomal RNA (496 nucleotides) under uncultured Glomus. RNAcentral's name for it is "SSU rRNA". It matches the Rfam family "Eukaryotic small subunit ribosomal RNA", at positions 591 to 1092 of the family's 1831-position model. Lineage: Eukaryota; Fungi; Glomeromycota; Glomeromycetes; Glomerales; Glomeraceae. The record is from RNAcentral.